CACAUCUCCUGCUCCCGCUUCUGCAGAGCAGAGCUGUUGAUCCAUUUAGGUGCAGGGAGCAAGAUGCCCGGGGCCCAUGAAAAUCUCCUCAUUUCUUUUAAAAUUGGAAGGCAAAUAUGCACUUCAAGGUCAAAGUAAAGGUUUUAACAUAUUAAUAUAUUCAUCUUUAUACCAAUGUAGUCCCCAAGUAUAAUUUUUAUUUUAUUUUGUUUUCAAGACAGAAUCUUGCUCUGUUGCCCAGGCUGGAGUGGAGUGCAGUGGCACAAUCAGGGCACACUGCAGCCUCAACUCCUGGGCUCAUGUGAUCCUCCUACCUCAGCCUCCUUAGUAGCUGGGACUACUGGGUGGGUUCACUGGGCUGGUUAAAGGUCCAGUUCUCUUGGAGGAGGCUGGAGGUACCAGGCCAGCUCUGCUUCCUUAGAGCAAUACCUGUGGAUGAUAACUUCUCUUCCAAAUUUAUCUUCCACGAAAAUGCCUGGCGGCCUGGCAAGCACUUUCUCAUGGCCCUGGGGACCUCACGGUGGUGCCACUCAUCCUGACCAAGGACCUGCGCCUGCAGCAUGACCCCCGACACAGAUACCUCAUCAGCACCGUUUUCUUUGUCUCUGGCAUCUGCACGCUCCUGCAAGUGUUUUUAGGGGUCAGGUAGGUAAAACAGUUCCCCGUGGGUUCUGACUUUUACCUGCCAGGGUGCCAGCAAGGCUUGCUUGACUUGUAGCUGGAGAGAUGGUUGGGAAGCUGGUGUGGCGUAAGGGAGGGCACACAGGGCUAGGAGACAGAGCGUGGG
This 787-nucleotide long non-coding RNA is filed under the name Callithrix jacchus (white-tufted-ear marmoset). Its description in RNAcentral is "lncRNA (ENSCJAG00000071819.1)". The record is from RNAcentral. Lineage: Eukaryota; Metazoa; Chordata; Mammalia; Primates; Cebidae.